AUGCUCACCUGGGCAGCAUGUCUACUAAAAGCAGAAUAAUGGAGAAGAUCAGCAUGGCUCCUGUGCAAGGAUGACUUGCAAACAUACACCACACACAC
Molecule: small nuclear RNA, 98 nt
Filed under: Peromyscus maniculatus bairdii (prairie deer mouse)
Lineage: Eukaryota; Metazoa; Chordata; Mammalia; Rodentia; Cricetidae
Source: RNAcentral